UACGGAGGGUGCAAGCGUUAUCCGGAUUCACUGGGUUUAAAGGGUGCGUAGGUGGGCAGUUAAGUCAGUGGUGAAAUCUCCGGGCUUAACCCGGAAACUGCCAUUGAUACUAUCUGUCUUGAAUACCGUGGAGGUGAGCGGAAUAUGUCAUGUAGCGGUGAAAUGCUUAGAUAUGACAUAGAACACCAAUUGCGAAGGCAGCUUACUACGGAUUGAUUGACACUGAGGCACGAAAGCGUGGGGAUCAAACAGG
This 253-nucleotide ribosomal RNA is filed under the name uncultured bacterium. Its description in RNAcentral is "partial 16S ribosomal RNA". It matches the Rfam family "Bacterial small subunit ribosomal RNA", at positions 524 to 776 of the family's 1533-position model. The record is from RNAcentral.